Molecule: small RNA, 78 nt
Filed under: Xanthomonas fragariae
Lineage: Bacteria; Pseudomonadati; Pseudomonadota; Gammaproteobacteria; Lysobacterales; Lysobacteraceae
Description: sX9 sRNA
Rfam family: Xanthomonas sRNA sX9
Source: RNAcentral
AUGUACUGCGCGUGCACUCUAGAUUUCCGGUGCGCCGUUCGUACCUUGCUGACGAUCGCUUGCCACGUGUUGCUAGCC